GACGAACGCUGGCGGCGUGCCUAAUACAUGCAAGUAGAACGCUGAAGAGAGGAGCUUGCUCUUCUUGGAUGAGUUGCGAACGGGUGAGUAACGCGUAGGUAACCUGCCUUGUAGCGGGGGAUAACUAUUGGAAACGAUAGCUAAUACCGCAUAACAAUGGAUGACACAUGUCAUUUAUUUGAAAGGGGCAAUUGCUCCACUACAAGAUGGACCUGUGUUGUAUUAGCUAGUAGGUGAGGUAAUGGCUCACCUAGGCGACGAUACAUAGCCGACCUGAGAGGGUGAUCGGCCACACUGGGACUGAGACACGGCCCAGACUCCUACGGGAGGCAGCAGUAGGGAAUCUUCGGCAAUAGGGGCAACCCUGACCGAGCAACGCCGCGUGAGUGAAGAAGGUUGUCGGAUCGUAAAGCUCUGUUGUAAGUCAAGAACGGGUGUGAGAGUGGAAAGUUCACACUGUGACGGUAGCUUACCAGAAAGGGACGGCUAACUACGUG
Molecule: ribosomal RNA, 497 nt
Filed under: uncultured bacterium
Lineage: Bacteria
Description: partial 16S ribosomal RNA
Rfam family: Bacterial small subunit ribosomal RNA
Source: RNAcentral